RNAcentral lists this ribosomal RNA (450 nucleotides) under uncultured bacterium. Its description in RNAcentral is "bacterial SSU rRNA". It matches the Rfam family "Bacterial small subunit ribosomal RNA", at positions 354 to 796 of the family's 1533-position model. The record is from RNAcentral.
GUGGGGAAUUUUGGACAAUGGGGGCAACCCUGAUCCAGCCAUGCCGCGUGCGGGAAGAAGGCCUUCGGGUUGUAAACCGCUUUUGUCAGGGAAGAAAUCCUUUGGGUUAAUACCUCGGAGGGAUGACGGUACCUGAAGAAUAAGCACCGGCUAACUACGUGCCAGCAGCCGCGGUAAUACGUAGGGUGCGAGCGUUAAUCGGAAUUACUGGGCGUAAAGCGUGCGCAGGCGGUUUUGUAAGAUCGAUGUGAAAUCCCCGGGCUCAACCUGGGAAUUGCGCUUGUGACUGCAAGGCUGGAGUGCGGCAGAGGGGGAUGGAAUUCCGCGUGUAGCAGUGAAAUGCGUAGAUAUGCGGAGGAACACCGAUGGCGAAGGCAAUCCCCUGGGCCUGCACUGACGCUCAUGCACGAAAGCGUGGGGAGCAAACAGGAUUAGAAACCCUAGUAGUCC